Molecule: ribosomal RNA, 448 nt
Filed under: uncultured bacterium
Lineage: Bacteria
Description: bacterial SSU rRNA
Rfam family: Bacterial small subunit ribosomal RNA
Source: RNAcentral
GUCGAGGAUCUUCCGCAAUGGGCGCAAGCCUGACGGAGCGACGCCGCGUGGAGGAUGAAGGCCUUCGGGUUGUAAACUCCUGUCACGUGAUGAGAAUCACAGGGCGCCAACACCGCCCUGCUUGACAAGUCAUGAGAGGAAGUCACGGCUAACUCUGUGCCAGCAGCCGCGGUAAUACAGAGGUGGCUAGCGUUGUUCGGAAUCACUGGGCAUAAAGGGCGCGUAGGCGGUCAGGUAAGUCGGUCGUGAAAGCCCUCGGCCCAACCGAGGAACUGCGUCCGAUACUGCUUGGCUGGAGUGCGGGAGGGGAGAGUGGAACUCCUGGUGGAGCGGUGAAAUGCGUAGAUAUCAGGAGGAACGCCGGUGGCGAAAGCGACUCUCUGGUCCGCAACUGACGCUGAGGCGCGAAAGCCAGGGGAGCAAACGGGAUUAGAUACCCGAGUAGUCC